RNAcentral lists this ribosomal RNA (273 nucleotides) under uncultured bacterium. Its description in RNAcentral is "partial 16S ribosomal RNA". It matches the Rfam family "Bacterial small subunit ribosomal RNA", at positions 524 to 796 of the family's 1533-position model. The record is from RNAcentral.
UACGUAGGGUGCGAGCGUUAAUCGGAAUUACUGGGCGUAAAGCGUGCGCAGGCGGUGCUGUAAGACAGGCGUGAAAUCCCCGGGCUCAACCUGGGAAUGGCGCUUGUGACUGCAGUGCUGGAGUGCGGCAGAGGGGGAUGGAAUUCCGCGUGUAGCAGUGAAAUGCGUAGAUAUGCGGAGGAACACCGAUGGCGAAGGCAAUCCCCUGGGCCUGCACUGACGCUCAUGCACGAAAGCUAGGGGAGCGAAAGGGAUUAGAUACCCCCGUAGUCC